RNAcentral lists this transfer RNA (88 nucleotides) under Eubacteriaceae bacterium. RNAcentral's name for it is "tRNA-Leu". It matches the Rfam family "tRNA". From Rfam's summary of the family: Transfer RNA (tRNA) molecules are approximately 80 nucleotides in length. Their secondary structure includes four short double-helical elements and three loops (D, anti-codon, and T loops). RNAcentral also lists the same sequence under 1 other name. Lineage: Bacteria; Bacillati; Bacillota; Clostridia; Eubacteriales; Eubacteriaceae. The record is from RNAcentral.
GCGAGAGUGGCGGAACUGGCAGACGCGCAGGAUUCAGGUUCCUGUGAGCAUUAAGCUUGUGUGGGUUCAAAUCCCGUCUCUCGCACCA